UGACUGGGGCGGUCUCCUCCCAAAGCGUAACGGAGGAGCACGAAGGUUAGCUAAUCCUGGUCGGACAUCAGGAGGUUAGUGCAAUGGCAUAAGCUAGCUUGACUGCGAGCGUGACGGCGCGAGCAGGUGCGAAAGCAGGUCAUAGUGAUCCGGUGGUUCUGAAUGGAAGGGCCAUCGCUCAACGGAUAAAAGGUACUCCGGGGAUAACAGGCUGAUACCGCCCAAGAGUUCAUAUCGACGGCGGUGUUUGGCACCUCGAUGUCGGCUCAUCACAUCCUGGGGCUGAAGUAGGUCCCAAGGGUAUGGCUGUUCGCCAUUUAAAGUGGUACGCGAGCUGGGUUUAGAACGUCGUGAGACAGUUCGGUCCCUAUCUGCCGUGGGCGCUGGAGAAUUGAGGGGGGCUGCUCCUAGUACGAGAGGACCGGAGUGGACGCAUCACUGGUGUUCGGGUUGUCAUGCCAAUGGCACUGCCCGGUAGCUAAAUGCGGAAGAGAUAAGUGCUGAAAGCAUCUAAGCACGAAACUUGCCCCG
This 531-nucleotide ribosomal RNA is filed under the name Klebsiella pneumoniae. RNAcentral describes it as "partial 23S ribosomal RNA". It matches the Rfam family "Bacterial large subunit ribosomal RNA", at positions 2270 to 2801 of the family's 2925-position model. RNAcentral also lists the same sequence under 2 other names. The record is from RNAcentral. Lineage: Bacteria; Pseudomonadati; Pseudomonadota; Gammaproteobacteria; Enterobacterales; Enterobacteriaceae.